AGAAUUAAAACACACUAGGCUAGGGUAUACAUGCUUUACAUAAGGAAUGCCAGGCAGGACAAAGGGAUAUUAGGGUAAUAAGGAAAUUGAAUGGUUACUAAUCUCUUCUUGGUGCCAUUAUCUUCAAAAAAGUUCCGUAAGGAAGAAUGUAAACACUAGAGAGGGUGGAGAGCGCGGAAGAAAGAGUUUUAAAGAAGAACACAAGAUAGGAGGAAAAGAGUCCUUACAAUGGUAAAUAAAAUAAAAAAAUGAGAAGUUGGCAGGAAUGUUCCAUUUGUUUUGUUGGAGAAUUCUCGGACACUUUGCACUGGAAUUGUUCCAGCUUCACCUUGGCCAAUGUACCUCUCUAGGUAGUCAUCACUAUAGAAUGCUGGGUUAAAAUCUCAUAACAGUCUAGUUAUUACAAUGACCAGUAUAUCAAAACUGAAUAAACAUACCAAGCCUUGAUCCUGUGAACUUAAAACUUACAUAAGAUCAGCAUGUAAAGCAUGAGAACGGUCCACUAUACAUUUGAGAUAAACAGAGAUGGUAAGGAAAUUAAUGGACG
Non-coding RNA from Pelobates cultripes (western spadefoot toad), 547 nucleotides. The record is from the annotation of a GenBank genome assembly. Lineage: Eukaryota; Metazoa; Chordata; Amphibia; Anura; Pelobatidae.